This 253-nucleotide ribosomal RNA is filed under the name uncultured bacterium. RNAcentral's name for it is "partial 16S ribosomal RNA". It matches the Rfam family "Bacterial small subunit ribosomal RNA", at positions 524 to 776 of the family's 1533-position model. The record is from RNAcentral.
UACGUAGGGUGCAAGCGUUGUCCGGAAUUAUUGGGCGUAAAGAGCUCGUAGGCGGCUUGUCGCGUCGGCUGUGAAAACCUGGGGCUCAACCCCGGGCCUGCAGCCGAUACGGGCAAGCUAGAAUUCGGUAGGGGAGACUGGAAUUCCUGGUGUAGCGGUGAAAUGCGCAGAUAUCAGGAGGAACACCUGAGGCGAAGGCGGGUUGCUGGGCUGAUACUGACGCUGAGGCGCGAAAGCCAGGGGAGCAAACGGG